Molecule: ribosomal RNA, 497 nt
Filed under: uncultured bacterium
Lineage: Bacteria
Description: partial 16S ribosomal RNA
Rfam family: Bacterial small subunit ribosomal RNA
Source: RNAcentral
GAUGAACGCUGGCGGCGUGCCUAAUACAUGCAAGUCGAGCGAACGGACGAGAAGCUUGCUUUUCUGAUGUUAGCGGCGGACGGGUGAGUAACACGUGGAUAACCUACCUAUAAGACUGGGAUAACUUCGAGAAACCGGAGCUAAUACCGGAUAAUAUUUUGAACCGCAUGGUUCAAAAGUGAAAGACGGUCUUGCUGUCACUUAUAGAUGGAUCCGCGCUGCAUUAGCUAGUUGGUAAGGUAACGGCUUACCAAGGCAACGAUGCAUAGCCGACCUGAGAGGGUGAUCGGCCACACUGGAACUGAGACACGGUCCAGACUCCUACGGGAGGCAGCAGUAGGGAAUCUUCCGCAAUGGGCGAAAGCCUGACGGAGCAACGCCGCGUGAGUGAUGAAGGUCUUCGGAUCGUAAAACUCUGUCAUUAGGGAAGAACAUAUGUGUAAGUAACUGUGCACAUCUUGACGGUACCUAAUCAGAAAGCCACGGCUAACUACGUG